RNAcentral lists this non-coding RNA (21 nucleotides) under Caenorhabditis elegans. Lineage: Eukaryota; Metazoa; Nematoda; Chromadorea; Rhabditida; Rhabditidae. The record is from RNAcentral.
UGAAUUCCGAAAAAGCGUCGU